CCUACGGGGGGCAGCAGUGAGGAAUAUUGGUCAAUGGACGAGAGUCUGAACCAGCCAAGUAGCGUGAAGGAUGACUGCCCUAUGGGUUGUAAACUUCUUUUAUAUGGGAAUAAAAUGUUCCACGUGUGGGAUUUUGUAUGUACCAUAUGAAUAAGGAUCGGCUAACUCCGUGCCAGCAGCCGCGGUAAUACGGAGGAUCCGAGCGUUAUCCGGAUUUAUUGGGUUUAAAGGGAGCGUAGGUGGAUUGUUAAGUCAGUUGUGAAAGUUUACGGCUCAACCGUAAAAUUGCAGUUGAAACUGGCAGUCUUGAGUACAGUAGAGGUGGGCGGAAUUCGUGGUGUAGCGGUGAAAUGCUUAGAUAUCACGAAGAACUCCGAUUGCGAAGGCAGUUCACUGGACUGCAACUGACACUGAGGCUCGAAAGUGUGGGUAUCAAACAGGAUUACAUACCCCAGUAGUC
RNAcentral lists this ribosomal RNA (460 nucleotides) under uncultured bacterium. RNAcentral's name for it is "partial 16S ribosomal RNA". It matches the Rfam family "Bacterial small subunit ribosomal RNA", at positions 338 to 795 of the family's 1533-position model. The record is from RNAcentral.